GACGAACCGAGCGAACGUUAUUCGGAAUCACUGGGCUUAAAGGGCGCGUAGGCGGGCGGCCAAGUCAGGGGUGAAAGCCUCCAGCUCAACUGGAGAAGUGCCUUUGAUACUGGUCAUCUUGAGGGAGGUAGGGGCGUGCGGAACUUCCGGUGGAGCGGUGAAAUGCGUAGAGAUCGGAAGGAACACCGGUGGCGAAAGCGGCGCGCUGGACCUCUUCUGACGAUGAGGCGCGAAAGCCAGGGGAGCAAACGGG
RNAcentral lists this ribosomal RNA (253 nucleotides) under uncultured bacterium. Its description in RNAcentral is "partial 16S ribosomal RNA". It matches the Rfam family "Bacterial small subunit ribosomal RNA", at positions 524 to 776 of the family's 1533-position model. The record is from RNAcentral.